This 1375-nucleotide ribosomal RNA is filed under the name uncultured bacterium. Its description in RNAcentral is "bacterial SSU rRNA". It matches the Rfam family "Bacterial small subunit ribosomal RNA", at positions 28 to 1381 of the family's 1533-position model. The record is from RNAcentral.
GAUGAACGCUGGCGGCGUGCCUAAUACAUGCAAGUCGAGCGAACAGAUAAGGAGCUUGCUCCUUUGACGUUAGCGGCGGACGGGUGAGUAACACGUGGAUAACCUACCUAUAAGACUGGGAUAACUUCGGGAAACCGGGGCUAAUACCGGAUAACAUAUUGAACCGCAUGGUUCAAUAGUGAAAGGCGGCUUUGCUGUCACUUAUAGAUGGAUCCGCGCCGUAUUAGCUAGUUGGUAAGGUAACGGCUUACCAAGGCAACGAUACGUAGCCGACCUGAGAGGGUGAUCGGCCACACUGGAACUGAGACACGGUCCAGACUCCUACGGGAGGCAGCAGUAGGGAAUCUUCCGCAAUGGGCGAAAGCCUGACGGAGCAACGCCGCGUGAGUGAUGAAGGUCUUCGGAUCGUAAAACUCUGUUACCAGGGAAGAACAAAUGUGUAAGUAACUGUGCACAUCUUGACGGUACCUGAUCAGAAAGCCACGGCUAACUACGUGCCAGCAGCCGCGGUAAUACGUAGGUGGCAAGCGUUAUCCGGAAUUAUUGGGCGUAAAGCCGCGCGUAGGCGUUUUUUUAAGUCUGAUGUGAAAGCCCACGGCUCACCCGUGAGGGGUCAUUGGAAAACUGGAAAACUUGAGUGCAGAAGAGGAAAGUGGGAAUCCCAUGUGUAGCGGUGAAAUGCGCAGAGAUAUGGAGGAACACCAGUGGCGAAGGCGACUUUCUGGUCUGUAACUGACGCUGAUGUGCGAAAGCGUGGGGAUCAAACAGGAUUAGAUACCCUGGUAGUCCACGCCGUAAACGAUGAGUGCUAAGUGUUAGGGGGUUUCCGCCCCUUAGUGCUGCAGCUAACGCAUUAAGCACUCCGCCUGGGGAGUACGACCGCAAGGUUGAAACUCAAAGGAAUUGACGGGGACCCGCACAAGCGGUGGAGCAUGUGGUUUAAUUCGAAGCAACGCGAAGAACCUUACCAAAUCUUGACAUCCUUUGACCGCUCUAGAGAUAGAGUCUUCCCCUUCGGGGGACAAAGUGACAGGUGGUGCAUGGUUGUCGUCAGCUCGUGUCGUGAGAUGUUGGGUUAAGUCCCGCAACGAGCGCAACCCUUAAGCUUAGUUGCCAUCAUUAAGUUGGGCACUCUAAGUUGACUGCCGGUGACAAACCGGAGGGAGGUGGGGAUGACGUCAAAUCAUCAUGCCCCUUAUGAUUUGGGCUACACACGUGCUACAAUGGACAAUACAAAGGGCAGCUAAACCGCGAGGUCAAGCAAAUCCCAUAAAGUUGUUCUCAGUUCGGAUUGUAGUCUGCAACUCGACUACAUGAAGCUGGAAUCGCUAGUAAUCGUAGAUCAGCAUGCUACGGUGAAUACGUUCCCGGGUCU